UGCGCAUGAGUAACGGGAUGCGCGCAGUCUUAUCAGCCAUUGCGCGGAAUGCUUAAUCGUAGUUUCGUGCCGGUUGUUGAUCGUGUUAGACGCGUUUCGUGUCUUGUUCUUAAAUUUUAUUCAAUAAGUGUUUUAUUUUCGUUUAUCGGUCACCUGUAUUUACGAGUACUUGUGUUUGGCGUGUUUAGUGUUGUUAAUGAUUAAUCGGGUGUCGAAUAUUAAAAAUCUGUGCGUGUAUAAAUCGCCGUCGGCUCUUGGCGUCGUUGCAUAUUUGUUCUACGGGCGACCGCCAUAUUGUCCUUGUGAAUUUUCCCAAGGAAUUGCGUGGAAAUCAAGAAAGAAUUUUCUUGGUGAAUUCUACGCGAAAUAUAUACCCAAGGAUCGUUUUCUAAUCGACGGCAUCAUAAUCGUAUUCAGUAACGUUGCAGCUGUAGCGGCCAUCAUCUCCAUCAAAAAGCAUUUGGAAAUUUUGCGUGAAAUAUACGCCCGAAGAUCGUUUUCUUAUCGCUACCAGCUGUGAUGGUUGCCACUUUUAAGAUGUCGCCAUUCACAUUGGAAAAAGUACAUGAAGCGGAAUAUAUACUCGAGGAUUGUUUGCCCUUCGAUCAGAUCGCACAUCAUCCAACUUACUACUUCUUCAAUGGCAGAGAAGUCUACCAGCGGGUGGAGACCUUGGAGGAGAGCAGCUGCCCUACGACGGAUAUCUCGGCCCGCCAAGAGGCGUUACCGACAUCAUUUUUUGCGCUCAUUAUUUAAAAUCGAACAGAUGACAGACACAUUAUUUUUUAAACCAGUGCAAAUAAUGCGCACAGGGAAAGACACAAAAAAAACUUCCCGACUUUUAAACCACGAACGCAUUCUUUAAGUUCACUUAUAAUUAGAAUUGUAUAUAUUUAGGGACCUUUACCAAUUAAUUUGAUGAAUGCUAGUGGAAUAACCUGCAGUGUAAACUCUUUAUAACGAUGAUCAAAAGUCGUGCAAUUAGUUUUUACUUCAUUUAGUUCAUUAGUUCAUAAAGACGAGUUGUAAAGUUAUUAAGAGUUUAUAUUGUAAUGCAAAUUUAGUCGCCUUACGACUUGAACUGAAAACUGGCAGUGUUGUCUCUGUAUCGCUAUUACUUGGAAUCAUGUAAUUUAUUGACUGCGCUUUAUUAUUUGUUAGAAGUAAUGCGUAAUGGAUAGUAUUGGGUAAUUGUCGCACUGCUGUCUAGGUUUUGAUCGCGAGGGGGGCGUUUUAAAAUUUCACUUGCUCGUGAGGAAAGCGUCUUUGAAAUAAUCACCGCUACAUGUGCUACAUGUGCUACAUGUUGCUACAUGUGUAAAUUCGAAAAUAGGGUGGUUCAGUGGGAUUUUCACUUGAACUGUGAAAUUGUUUUAGUAUUUUUGGUAUAGCUCGCGAAUGGGGCGGGACAGAAUUUUCAGCGCGGUCUCUAGAGAUGACGAAUAGAUUCUUCGCGUUAUUAUAUUAGUUUGUUGCUGAAGUUGCAUCUGCAACAUAUGUAAAUUUAAAAAUUGAGGGGUUCAGUUACAUUUUUACCCAAAGGGUAAAAUAGUUCGUUUUUCGGUAUAGCUCGCGAAGGGGCGGUUUAGAAUUUUUAGCGCGGGCUCUAGAGACAUCGAAUUAAAUUGUCCGCGGGGUUGCUAAAUUCUAAAAUAAGGUGGUUCAAUAGAAUUUAAACCUGAAGGGUGAAAUUAUUGGCUUUUUUUUUGGUGUAGUUCGCGAAGCUUAGAAUUCUCAGCGCGGUCUCUAGAAAAGUCUAAUUAGAUUCUCGGCGCGGUUGUCAUUGUUUGUUAUAAAAACUUCGGCAGCAGUGCGUACAGUGGUAAAUUGUGUAUUAGCGUGUCCUCCUGUCUUCCGCAUUUCCUAUCUUUUGUGCCUUUGUGUUGUCCAAGUAGAACUUGAAAUCUUGUUUAAUUGUGUAUAUGACUUGUGUAUGUUGUUUUUCCUAUGUACUAAUGUGUAGUUAUAUUUGUUGUCAUGUAUGUUUUGUAUUAUUUUGUUCUUGUAAGUGUAUAGAGUAGCUGCAUAGUACAGUAGUUUGUGUUUUAAUGUUUGCUUGCACCUUGUAUUGUGUGUUUUAAUGUCUUUUGUUGUUGUGUGUAAAUUAAUAAAUGUCUAUUGUGUAGCAUCUAGAAGUAGUGUUAGUUUGUGUAUAAAUCGUAAUGUCCGUGUCUCGUAAAUGUGAAAUGUAAACAUGUUAUCUGUUUAGAGUAGUCGUAUGACUUGCAGUUGCUUUGUGUUUAGCUGUGCCAUAGUUGUAACUUGUUGAUAUAUUUAUUGUGUUAUCUCUGCAGGUAUAGGAACCAGUAUUGCAAUAGCAAUACUAGUAACACUGUGUUGCCCAUGCAACACAGGUAGUAUGGUAUUGCUAUGGCAGUACAAGUAACAUGUCUUGCUGUUGCAAUGCAGUAUGUAUAGGUAUCAAUAAAGAAGUCUUCUAAUA
Long non-coding RNA from Dalotia coriaria, 2443 nucleotides. RefSeq lists it as uncharacterized. The record is from RefSeq and is a predicted model, not a curated record. NCBI's taxonomy places the organism in Eukaryota, Metazoa, Arthropoda, Insecta, Coleoptera, Staphylinidae. The transcript is spliced from 4 exons.